RNAcentral lists this unclassified non-coding RNA (152 nucleotides) under air metagenome. Its description in RNAcentral is "partial contains small subunit ribosomal RNA, internal transcribed spacer 1, and 5.8S ribosomal RNA". The stretch from base 1 to 46 matches the Rfam family "Eukaryotic small subunit ribosomal RNA", at positions 1786 to 1831 of the family's 1831-position model. The record is from RNAcentral.
AAGUCGUAACAAGGUUUCCGUAGGUGAACCUGCGGAAGGAUCAUUGCUGGAUUUACACACCCACGUGCACCCCCUUUCACACCCCAGUCUGUGUCCGUCCUCUUAUUUGGGAAAUCUUAACACAACUUUCGGCGAUGGAUCUCUUGGCUCUC